CCGGGCCUGGCAGAGGGGACGCGGCGCCCAAGCCGCUCCUCCGGAUGGCGACAGAGACGGCCUGACGCGCCCGCAGCCUGGGCCCCCCACGGGGAGGACGGCCGGGCCAGGUGAAGUUCGCGCACUUGGGCCUUCCGCGCCCCCAUCCACCGCAGCCAGGGCCUGGAAGGCUGGGGAGGGGGCGGGGGCGGCAGACGCCUCCUAAGGUGGGUUCUGGGACUUGGAUCCGGAGUUUAUUCCAAGGAGAGGGUGCUCUGGGCCUGUUCCCUAGGUGUGCCCUGUUACCCAAAAUCGGGCUUGUGCAGUGGGGUCCCUGAGUCCACUGGGAGCACAGCCUCAGACCCCAGCAGAGUCACCCUUCAUCGGAAGCCCACCACCCUGAGGGCUCCUCCUCCACCUGGGGCGGCACUGCCAGGCACAGGCACGCACUUUCCCUCAGUCCUCUGCCCCACGAUCACUCUACUCGGGCACCUCUGCCACUGCCUGGUCCUUGCUGAGCCAUCUCCUGGUUCAUCUCCCUGGAGUCCCUGCAGGACCGGCUCUCAGUGGCGUCUCCGGGCUCCCAGUCCCAGGACUGGUCCUAUCCAGCCCAGGAGAUACGCUCCCCAGUCCAGGAUGUCCAGAUGGCCCUGCUGCCUGGAGAGGCUCUGGCCCCUGCCGGUAGCUGCCACAGCACCACCCCAAGCUCUGCCUUCCUGCAGGGAGGUGAUUCUGCAGAAGUUGGGGCUCCUGACAACUUUGGGGUGGCCAUGAGGGACGUACCUCUUGCCUCUGGAUGUGCAGGGUACAACUUGAGCUCUCAUCUACAUAACUGAAGGCUGCACCCAGGGCUGUAAAGAGUGAAAAUGCAUUGCCGAAGCAUGAGCACCUCCUGCAGUUCUCAGUAGACAUUUGGGAAGCGAGUGAACCGCCCUGUAUGGAGUGUUUGGAGGAGGUCGGAGGGUGUCGGGCCUGAGCCAGGGGCUGCCCUGGGCCUGUGUCGGGUGGCGCAUGCCAGAGGAAUGAGAUGGGAAGGGCAUGCACGCGGGGUCUUGGCAGCCCUGGAGCUGGCCUAGAUGCAGCAGCUUUCUGAUAAAGCGAAAUUGUUCCAUCGGCUUGCCAUGCUUUGCUUAGCCAUCCGCACUUCACUGUUGGGCGAAAGAAGAUUUUAAAGAACACCCUUAGCAGAUGUCAGAGUUUGGGAUUUGGGGUCCAUGAUACCCAAAUAAGAUUCCACUUGAAGAAAGUAACACGAAUUGCUUUCAACACAUCAAUCAACAAAGAGCAUUGAUGGAUGAAGAGGACAUUGAUAAAUGGGAUGUCUUUUUGCUGAAACUCUAACUUACAGUAAAGGGGGGAAACUCACAGAAGCCCAGUGGAAGCUUCUGGAGCCAGGAGCUACACUGACUCUCUCCGCAGAGGGUGUGGAGGGGUAGGCGGCAGUCAGCCCCCAGCCCAGAGUGGAGGGCACCUGGGCACAUGUGUGAUCAGAGCCCACAUGGAGGGAGGCCAGGGUCCAGCUUCCCUUCACUCUGGGAACAUGGGAGGCCCUGUCCCCAGGCCAUGGCACACAGAGGGAGGAGCAGGAGCUCUGGCAGCCUCAGAGGUGUGUGCCAGGCCGCAGCCUAUUGGAAAUUCCUCAGGAGUGCAUGGCCUGGGGUCCCCCAGCCUGCGGGAGGCAGAGGGGGCGAGGCCAGGUCCCCCGGCCUGUGGGAGGCAGAGGGGGCGAGGCCACGUCCACCAGUCCGAAGCCUGUCCUGCCCAGCUUGCUGUGUGACUCUGGCCUCGGGGGGAACAUUAUCUGAAAUGUACAUAGUGGAAUCCAGGCAGUGUUCACCCCUUCCCUCUGUGCCCUCCGUGGUCUUCUGUGACCUGGGAUUUGUUGGUCAUUGGCAGAAACAGAAGAUGCAUUAUUAUUACUGUAAAAGGUAAAGUUGUCCCCUAACUGGCUCAACUGUCCGAAGACCCCCCUGCUUUUUCUGCUUUUCCUUGUGACUCAGCCUGGUCUUUCUUCUUCCAGGGUGGCAUCCCACUGACUCCUACGCAGCCCCACCCUGGUUCCCUCACUCCCAGGUUCCUGGUCCCUCAGGGUCCUAGGGCUGAGUCCUCCAUAGCCCCCACACACAGCCCAGAGCUGGGACUGACCCACGGCAUAGGACAAACUCCUCCAGGCCUCUGAGAGAACUCCUGGGCUUUCAUCUACAUGAUUCAGAAAGAAUCUUUUUUCUCUUUCAAAUGUUAAUGUUUUUAAUUUCCUUUUUUUUUUCAUUUUUCAUUAUAACUGCUAAGAUUUUUCUAAUUGGCAUGCCAACUGCUUGCAGACUUGACCUGUUUCUUGCAAAAAAAGAAAAUCGCUUAAUCAUUAAAUACAAUUAUUACUUCAUUCUUCUAUCUCUUCAGUCUACCAAACUAUUAUAUACUCUUGAUGAUUGUCAUUUUCGUCAAAAGAAAACUGUAUCCAGAAUCCCAUAACACUUACAAAUUAAGUGUCUUAAUUUUUCAAGUUCUUUUGGGGCUUGCCAUAUGAGUGUAUUAUUCUUGCAUAUUGCACAUUCAUUUUCUAUUAUUUUUAAUACAUAAUUCUACAAAAUAAGCAUUCUUCAUGAUAUAUAUUUGUUUGAGAAUUUCUUAAUAAAAGAUGGGAGUAUUUGUUACUUAAAAUUCUAUCACUUAAAAGCAAUUGCAAGGGUUUCCUAUGAAGACAGGAUAGAGAAUCCACCUUGUAAUAACCUCCUUUGCUCCAUACUCAUGAUGCCUCGUUCAGAAAAAAACCCAAAGAAUAGCUGGUCUCCUUAGUCCAGAGUCGGGUGCAGGUGGGCGGGGUUGAAUCCUGCCCAAUGCUGGUGACCGGAAACAUCAGAAUGGAGGGUAGAGGCAGGCUCCCUGCCUACAGUGGAGAGGUGAGGUGACCUCAUGAUAUCAGAGUGGAAACUCGCUCUAAAGUCCAGGAGCGGCUGGGUGCGGUGUCUCACGCCUGUAAUCCCAGCAUUUUGAGAGGCCGAGGCAGGUGGAUGGCCUGAGGUCAGCAGUUCGAGACAAGCUUGGCCAACAUGGUGAAACCCCAUCUCUACUAAAAAUAUACAAAAAGUUAGCUGGAUGUGGUGGCAGGCGCCUAUAGUCCCAGCUACUUUGGAGGCUGAGGCAGGUGAAUCGCUUGGACCUGGAAGGCGGAG
RNAcentral lists this long non-coding RNA (3152 nucleotides) under Homo sapiens (human). Its description in RNAcentral is "HSALNT0406648". The record is from RNAcentral. Lineage: Eukaryota; Metazoa; Chordata; Mammalia; Primates; Hominidae.